UCUGGGGUGAUCCCGAAUCUGAAGGAAGUCGGCGGCAAAUCUCCGCCUUUAGGAACACGAACUUCAUACGAGGCUAGAUGUAUUUGAGUGAGACUGCUAAACAAGUUAAAGCCCGUACUGCCAAAGAAUACAUCAAGUAAAUGAAGGAAGGACAAGGAGAGGAAGAAUAUGCG
RNAcentral lists this non-coding RNA (173 nucleotides) under Virgibacillus pantothenticus. Lineage: Bacteria; Bacillati; Bacillota; Bacilli; Caryophanales; Bacillaceae. The record is from RNAcentral.